This 253-nucleotide ribosomal RNA is filed under the name uncultured bacterium. Its description in RNAcentral is "partial 16S ribosomal RNA". It matches the Rfam family "Bacterial small subunit ribosomal RNA", at positions 524 to 776 of the family's 1533-position model. The record is from RNAcentral.
UACGGGGGGGGCAAGCGUUGUUCGGAAUUACUGGGCGUAAAGGGCUCGUAGGCGGCCAACUAAGUCAGACGUGAAAUCCCUCAGCUUAACUGGGGAACUGCGUCUGAUACUGGAUGGCUAGAGGUUGGGAGAGGGAUGCGGAAUUCCAGGUGUAGCGGUGAAAUGCGUAGAUAUCUGGAGGAACACCGGUGGCGAAGGCGGCAUCCUGGACCAAUUCUGACGCUGAGGAGCGAAAGCCAGGGGAGCAAACGGG